GAUGAACGCUGGCGGCGUGCCUAAUACAUGCAAGUCGAGCGAACGGACGAGAAGCUUGCUUCUCUGAUGUUAGCGGCGGACGGGUGAGUAACACGUGGAUAACCUACCUAUAAGACUGGGAUAACUUCGGGAAACCGGAGCUAAUACCGGAUGAUAUUUUGAACCGCAUGGUUCAAAAGUGAAAGACGGUCUUGCUGUCACUUAUAGAUGGAUCCGCGCUGCAUUAGCUAGUUGGUAAGGUAACGGCUUACCAAGGCAACGAUGCCUAGCCGACCUGAGAGGGUGAUCGGCCACACUGGAACUGAGACACGGUCCAGACUCCUACGGGAGGCAGCAGUAGGGAAUCUUCCGCAAUGGGCGAAAGCCUGACGGAGUAACGCCGCGUGAGUGAUGAAGGUCUUCGGAUCGUAAAACUCUGUUAUUAGGGAAGAACAAAUGUGUAAGUAACUGUGCACAUCUUGACGGUACCUAAUCAGAAAGCCACGGCUAACUACGUG
RNAcentral lists this ribosomal RNA (497 nucleotides) under uncultured bacterium. RNAcentral describes it as "partial 16S ribosomal RNA". It matches the Rfam family "Bacterial small subunit ribosomal RNA", at positions 28 to 507 of the family's 1533-position model. The record is from RNAcentral.